UUGGAGGGCAAGUCUGGUGCCCGCAGCCGCGGUAAUUCCAGCUCCAAUAGCGUAUAUUAAAGUUGUUGCAGUUAAAAAGCUCGUAGUUGAAUUUCGGGAUCAACUUACUGGUCGUGCCUAUGGUACGCACUGGUUUUGUUGGUUUCUCCCUUCUGACGGAUCACGAUGUCAUUAAUUUGAUGUCCUGGGGAAUCAGGACUGUUACUUUGAAAAAAUUAGAGUGUUUAAAGCAGGC
Molecule: ribosomal RNA, 235 nt
Filed under: uncultured Glomus
Lineage: Eukaryota; Fungi; Glomeromycota; Glomeromycetes; Glomerales; Glomeraceae
Description: partial 18S ribosomal RNA
Rfam family: Eukaryotic small subunit ribosomal RNA
Source: RNAcentral